AAGGAUCUCCAGUGACGUUCUGUGCUGCAUCUUGGUGGAACCAGUCUGUUGCCUGCCCUCCAAGGCCACCUCCCAUGAAUCCAACUCCGCCCCCAGGUCGGAGCCAGCCUUCCUGGUGAGUUUUAGCUGGAGAAACCCAAGGCAUGGUGACCACACAGAAUUUGCCCUCGUCACCCGACAUGGUUUACGGAAGCUAGAAUUGUGCCGGAUGCAGAUAAGACUGGAGGUUGACGAGACCUCUCUGUUUUUGUAGCUCGGUGUUUCGCUUCGCCCCCUGUAAGAAGUCCAAGGGCUGCUUUAGAUCCAACGCUGCCAGUGCGCGACAAUUGAGUGGGGGUAGUCGUUCAAAGAUGCAGUGGAGUGUGGUCGCUUGGUCCGUUCUGCUGUUGUCUGGUGCUGUUGGAUCCGACGAAUCGAUCAUACAAUCACCGAAGCAGAUCACAGUUACUGAAGGCGGGACUGCGCGGCUAAACUGUACAUUUGUUGGCAACACAAGCAGUUUAAUCGGGGCCAUUAGUUGGUACAAGGACGUGGAAACUCGUGACGUUUCCAACACGAGCGGCGACUAUUAUGGUCGCGUUCUGAAAUAUAAUUCACAGGGAAUUCUAAAAGAAUCCAUCGACAUCACUGACCUCAAAGUGAACGAUACAGGAAGGUAUUACUGCCGAGUGCGUGUUUUCACAGGGGGAAUAUAUAAUGGUCACGGCACAGAUGUCGC
This is a long non-coding RNA of Leucoraja erinaceus (little skate), 718 nucleotides long. RefSeq lists it as uncharacterized. The transcript has 3 exons. The record is from RefSeq and is a predicted model, not a curated record. Lineage: Eukaryota; Metazoa; Chordata; Chondrichthyes; Rajiformes; Rajidae.